UCAAGAAACUUCCACAAUGGGCGAAAGCCUGAUGGAGCGACGUCGCGUGAUGGACGAAGUGCUUCGGCACGUAAACAUCUUUUAUGUGGGAUGAAAUUAUUGACAGUACCACAUGAAUAAGGGGCUCCUAACUCUGUGCCAGCAGGAGCGGUAAUACAGAGGCCCUAAGCGUUAUCCGGAAUCACUGGGCGUAAAGGGUGUCGAGGCGGUUGUAUUAGUCGUUCGUAAAAUCUACGAGCUUAACUUGUAGGCGGCGAACGAAACGGUACGACUUGAGGUUUGGAGAGGUGCGUGGAACUCACGGUGUAGGGGUGAAAUCCGUUGAUAUCGUGGGGAACACCAAAGGCGAAGGCAGCGCACUGGCCAAAAUCUGACGCUCACACACGAAAGCUAGGGUAGCGAAGAGGAUUAGAUACCCAUGUAGUCCCUGAGCGGGCUGGCAAGGCGCAU
RNAcentral lists this ribosomal RNA (450 nucleotides) under uncultured bacterium. Its description in RNAcentral is "bacterial SSU rRNA". It matches the Rfam family "Bacterial small subunit ribosomal RNA", at positions 355 to 825 of the family's 1533-position model. The record is from RNAcentral.